AGAGCGAACGCUGGCGGCAGGCCUAACACAUGCAAGUCGAGCGCCCCGCAAGGGGAGCGGCAGACGGGAGAGUAACACGUGGGAACGUACCCUUCAGUUCGGAACAACCCAGGGAAACUUGGGCUAAUACCGAAUACGUCCGUAAGGAGAAAGAUUUAUCGCUGAAGGAUCGGCCCGCGUCUGAUUAGCUUGUUGGUGAGGUAACGGCUCACCAAGGCUACGAUCAGUAGCUGGUCUGAGAGGAUGAUCAGCCUCACUGGGACUGAGACACGGCCCAGACUCCUACGGGAGGCAGCAGUGGGGAAUAUUGGACAAUGGGCGCAAGCCUGAUCCAGCCAUGCCGCGUGGAUGAUGAAGGCCUUAGGGUUGUAAAGUCCUUUCGACGGGGAAGAUAAUGACGGUACCGUAGAAGAAGCCCCGGCUAACUUCGUGCCAGCAGCCGC
Molecule: ribosomal RNA, 443 nt
Filed under: uncultured bacterium
Lineage: Bacteria
Description: SSU rRNA
Rfam family: Bacterial small subunit ribosomal RNA
Source: RNAcentral